CCCUUAGAUGUUCUGGGCCGCACGCGCGCUACACUGAUGCAUUCAACGAGUCUAAAACCUGCUCUGAUAGGGGUGGGUAAUCUUUUGAAUGUGCAUCGUGAUUGGGAUAGAUGAUUGCAAUUUUUCAUCUUCAACGAGGAAUGCCUAGUAAACGCAAGUCAUCAGCUUGCAUUGAUUACGUCCCUGCCCUUUGUACACACCGCCCGUCGCUCCUACCGAUUGAAUGAUCCGAUGAAUAUCAUGGAUUGAGGAUGUAAGCAGGUUCGCCUGUCUUCAUCUUCGAGAAGUGAAGUAAAUCUUAUCAUUUAGAGGAAGGAGAAGGCGUAACA
RNAcentral lists this ribosomal RNA (329 nucleotides) under uncultured eukaryote. RNAcentral's name for it is "partial 18S ribosomal RNA". It matches the Rfam family "Eukaryotic small subunit ribosomal RNA", at positions 1470 to 1796 of the family's 1831-position model. The record is from RNAcentral.